CCUACGGGAGGCAGCAGUGGGGAAUAUUGGACAAUGGGCGAAAGCCUGAUCCAGCCAUGCCGCGUGUGUGAAGAAGGCCUUCGGGUUGUAAAGCACUUUCAGUGGGGAAGAAAGCCUUGGGGCUAAUACCCUCGAGGAAGGACAUCACCCACAGAAGAAGCACCGGCUAACUCCGUGCCAGCAGCCGCGGUAAUACGGAGGGUGCGAGCGUUAAUCGGAAUUACUGGGCGUAAAGCGCGCGUAGGCGGUCUGAUAAGCCGGUUGUGAAAGCCCCGGGCUCAACCUGGGAACGGCAUCCGGUACUGUCAGGCUAGAGUGCAGGAGAGGAAGGUAGAAUUCCCGGUGUAGCGGUGAAAUGCGUAGAGAUCGGGAGGAAUACCAGUGGCGAAGGCGGCUUUCUGGACUGACACUGACGCUGAGGUGCGAAAGCGUGGGUAGCAAACAGGAUUAGAUACCCCAGUAGUC
RNAcentral lists this ribosomal RNA (465 nucleotides) under Vreelandella stevensii. RNAcentral describes it as "partial 16S ribosomal RNA". It matches the Rfam family "Bacterial small subunit ribosomal RNA", at positions 338 to 795 of the family's 1533-position model. The record is from RNAcentral. Lineage: Bacteria; Pseudomonadati; Pseudomonadota; Gammaproteobacteria; Oceanospirillales; Halomonadaceae.